Molecule: long non-coding RNA, 1696 nt
Organism: Oncorhynchus keta (chum salmon)
Lineage: Eukaryota; Metazoa; Chordata; Actinopteri; Salmoniformes; Salmonidae
Exons: 3
Source: RefSeq, a predicted model, not a curated record
CAAUUAAUAUUAGUUCUAGCUUCCAAAAGUUCUAAGAUAAGGCACUGAAAAACAGAGGAAGAAAUAGGAAAAGAAAUCCACUGCUUUGUGACACAGAGUUAAAACAAAGGAGUCCGUGUUGACAACCGGGAGGGAGGACUUGCUGUUAAGUUGUUGUUGUUGUUGUUGUUGUUUACUUGUGUUCUAAUAGCAUGUGUUGACAUCCUUUGGCAAAGGGAUGCUGUCAUUUUCCUUUUACAGGAAAAUAAACUAUCGAAAGACAUCAAAUAGCGACUGAGGAAUAAAACCGAAUGAACACCCCUCGUUGACCUGCUUCAUGCCGCAGUUGGCUGUGUGUUUGUAUGUUUGUGUAUGAGUCAGGCGCUUGCUGCUGCGGCGACAGUAACCGCAUGACAACAGGAAUUCCUUCCUGCUUUAGUCUUGAUGUAAUCCCUAUACUAAUACAGGAUUGCAGAACAGAACACUGGUCGGGGAAACGACCACAUCCCAGCUGGCCGGCUGGCUGAAACAAACAGUAACACACACCCACAGGCCUCCCAUCAGCUUCAUGGCUCGGACACUUCUCUGUGGAGAGAUUCAGCUUAUGUAGACUUAGGUUAGGCUCAGAUGAGGUUAUAUGGACUUAAGCUCAGUUGAGGUUAUAUAGAAUUAGGUUAGGCUGAGAUGAGGUUAUAUAGAAUUAGGUUAGGCUAAGAUGAGGUUAUAUAGAAUUAGGUUAGGCUCAGAUGAGGUUAUAUGGACUUAAGCUCAGUUGAGGUUAUAUAGAAUUAGGUUAGGCUGAGAUGAGGUUAUAUAGAAUUAGGUUAGGCUGAGAUGAGGUUAUAUGGACUUAAGCUCAGAUGAGGUUAUAUAGAAUUAGGUUAGGCUCAGAUGAGGUUAUAUGGACUUAAGCUCAGAUGAGGUUAUAUAGAAUUAGGUUAGGCUCAGAUGAGGUUAUAUAGAAUUAGGUUAGGCUCAGAUGAGGUUAUAUAGAAUUAGGUUAGGCUGAGAUGAGGUUAUAUAGAAUUAGGUUAGGCUGAGAUGAGGUUAUAUAGAAUUAGGUUAGGCUGAGAUGAGGUUAUAUAGAAUUAGGUUAGGCUGAGAUGAGGUUAUAUAGAAUUAGGUUAGGCUGAGAUGAGGUUAUAUAGAAUUAGGUUAGGCUGAGAUGAGGUUAUAUAGAAUUAGGUUAGGCUGAGAUGAGGUUAUAUAGAAUUAGGUUAGGCUGAGAUGAGGUUAUAUAGAAUUAGGUUAGGCUGAGAUGAGGUUAUAUAGAAUUAGGUUAGGCUGAGAUGAGGUUAUAUAGAAUUAGGUUAGGCUCAGAUGAGGUUAUAUAGAAUUAGGUUAGGCUGAGAUGAGGUUAUAUAGAAUUAGGUUAGGCUGAGAUGAGGUUAUAUAGAAUUAGGUUAGGCUGAGAUGAGGUUAUAUAGAAUUAGGUUAGGCUGAGAUGAGGUUAUAUAGAAUUAGGUUAGGCUGAGAUGAGGUUAUAUAGAAUUAGGUUAGGCUGAGAUGAGGUUAUAUAGAAUUAGGUUAGGCUGAGAUGAGGUUAUAUAGAAUUAGGUUAGGCUGAGAUGAGGUUAUAUAGAAUUAGGUUAGGCUGAGAUGAGGUUAUAUAGAAUUAGGUUAGGCUGAGAUGAGGUUAUAUAGAAUUAGGUUAGGCUGAGAUGAGGUUAUAUAGAAUUAGGUUAGGCUCAGUUGAGGUUAUAUAGAAUUAGGUUAU